This 1123-nucleotide long non-coding RNA is filed under the name Panax ginseng (ginseng). Its description in RNAcentral is "long non-coding RNA (PGIN_LNC001128)". The record is from RNAcentral. Lineage: Eukaryota; Viridiplantae; Streptophyta; Magnoliopsida; Apiales; Araliaceae.
AUCAGAAAAUUUUUCCUAUAAUAUUGCGAGUAUUUUUCUUGAGUAUAAGAAUAUUUUGAGCGUAGUUUUUCUGCAAGAUUUUCUCAGAAUAAUAUUCGAUAUUCCAGUCAAAUCCAGUUUCUACCAAGGUAAAGGAUAUUAUUUAUUUGCAAUACUCGUGAGAAAUAUUAUUUUCUUUCAUACUCCAUAUUAUGUAAGCGAUAUUAUUUCAUCUCGUAUUCUUGAAUUUGAACUUACUAUGGUAAGUAUUGCUUCUAUAAUUCCUGAAAUAAUUAGAAAUUUUGCUUCAUCUAAAAUCAUUUCAUAGGAAUAUUGGUCUGAACUUUUAAUCAAAUUUGGAACUUUUCAUGACCGGGUACUGUUCACGGUUACUGUUCACGGGUACUGUUCACAAAAGAAUUUUUUUUUUCUUCCUUUCAAGAUAUCUGUUGUGACUCUUAUUCUUGAAAUUGAAUCCAUGUUUUUAUCUUCACUAUGGUUUAUUAUGGAGCGUUUUUGAACUUGGUUCAUCUAAAGUACGAAUUCCUAAUCUUUGUUCUUCUGUCUCACUGGAUUCGUUCUCUAAAAUAUUUUUCAUCAUCCUCAGUCUUUAAUGGUGAUACUUGAUGAAUAUCUUUGGCCUGUAGUACAAAGAUGAAUGAUUACCUGAUAAAUAUCUUUGGCCCGUAGUGCAAAGAUGAACAGGUGUUGAGAUGAACAUGACCAACUGGUGAUACAAAUGAAUAUCUUUGGCUCGUAGUGCAAAGAUGAAUAAUUGAUGCAAGAUGUAUAUUGAUUGAUGUUACAGGGAUAAAAUAUUGAUGAUAGACUUUUAAAUUCAUAGAUGAUAGUAGAUUUGAUUCUCUACUUAACUCUUCUAAUGAAUUGUUAUUUCCGCUGCGAAUAUUGAUCUAAACCUAGUUGUCCAUUAUAUUUUAUCUGAUUUGUUGAAGGCUAACGAUAAAUUGUUGUUCUUUAUCUUAGUCAUAAUAUUCUUUACUGGGCUAGUUGAACUCACCCUUUUCUUUUUUGUUCCAUUUUUCUUCUUAGGAGAUGAGAAUAUAGCAAGAACCAGUCGGAGUAAAGAGUGAUGGUCCUAGACAAUUGUUUUAGCAGUCCUCGCUAGUUUUGUAAAAUAGUGUAU